Molecule: non-coding RNA, 96 nt
Organism: Saccharata proteae CBS 121410
Lineage: Eukaryota; Fungi; Ascomycota; Dothideomycetes; Botryosphaeriales; Saccharataceae
Source: the annotation of a GenBank genome assembly
UCCGUUAUGGUCUAGUGGCUAGGAUUUGUCGCUCUCAGUAUUCACAUAGUGAUUACAAGCGCCGACAAGGCCGGGGUUCAAUUCCCCGUGACGGAA